RNAcentral lists this ribosomal RNA (252 nucleotides) under uncultured bacterium. RNAcentral describes it as "partial 16S ribosomal RNA". It matches the Rfam family "Bacterial small subunit ribosomal RNA", at positions 525 to 776 of the family's 1533-position model. The record is from RNAcentral.
ACAGAGGGUGCGAGCGUUAAUCGGAAUUACUGGGCGUAAAGCGUGCGUAGGCGGUUAAUUAAGUCAGAUGUGAAAGCCCUGGGCUCAACCUGGGAAUUGCAUUUGAUACUGGUUGACUUGAGUAUGGGAGAGGGAAGUGGAAUUUCCGGUGUAGCGGUGAAAUGCGUAGAUAUCGGAAGGAACACCAGUGGCGAAGGCGACUUCCUGGACCAUUACUGACGCUGAGGCACGAAAGCGUGGGGAGCAAACAGG